Molecule: ribosomal RNA, 253 nt
Filed under: uncultured bacterium
Lineage: Bacteria
Description: partial 16S ribosomal RNA
Rfam family: Bacterial small subunit ribosomal RNA
Source: RNAcentral
UACGUAGGGGGCAAGCGUUAUCCGGAUUUACUGGGUGUAAAGGGAGCGUAGACGGCGACGCAAGUCUGGAGUGAAAGCCCGGGGCCCAACCCCGGGACUGCUCUGGAAACUGCGUCGCUGGAGUACGGGAGGGGCAGGCGGAAUUCCUGGUGUAGCGGUGAAAUGCGUAGAUAUCAGGAGGAACACCGGCGGCGAAGGCGGCCUGCUGGACCGUGACUGACGUUGAGGCUCGAGAGCGUGGGGAGCAAACAGG